Molecule: non-coding RNA, 24138 nt
Organism: Podarcis lilfordi (Lilford's wall lizard)
Lineage: Eukaryota; Metazoa; Chordata; Lepidosauria; Squamata; Lacertidae
Source: the annotation of a GenBank genome assembly
AUUUAAAUAUACCUUCUUGAAGAAACCAGAGGCCUUUCUUCUGGGCAUUGUCGGCCAAUUGGUGCCAAAGAAGGACAGAACUUUUUUUAUGUAUGCUACAACAGCAGCAAGAAUACUCAUUGCAAAGUAUUGGAAGACACAAGAUCUACCCACUUUGGAAGAAUGGCAGAUGAAGGUGAUGGACUAUAUGGAAUUGGCGGAAAUGACUGGCAGAAUCCGAGACCAGGGAGAAGAGUCGGUGGAAGAAGAUUGGAAGAAAUUUAAAGACUAUUUACAGAAAUAUUGUAAAAUUAAUGAAUGAUUGAAUGAUGUUGGAUAGUAAUUAAGCGGUUUCUAGCUGUAAUGCUUUAAGAGAAUAUGAAAAAAGGGUUAUAAAUGGGUUAAAAUCUAAUGGUAAGGAUUUGCUGAACCAAUAAAUUGAAGUGGAAUACAAAAAAGGGAGGUACGAGGAGGUCCGGGAAACAAGCUAAAGGAAAAUAAGUAACUGAAAAUAUGUGUGUUUUUAACUGUUUUUAUUUUGUAUUUUUCUCUUUUCUUUUUCAUUUUUACUGUAAUAUUUCAAAAAAACCUUAAUAAAUAUCUUAUAAAAAAAAUAUGUAUCAUCUUAGUGGGAAUUUAUCCCGAAAUACUUGUUUUUCUGCAAGAUUUAUCUGAAUAUACGCACUUUUGCAAAGUGAUUUCCUCAAACAGAAUGCAUUUCUGUAUGCUAUUUUCACUAACAUAUGCAAACAAACAAACAAAAUACAUUGUUAGGCACACUUUGUCCCGGGAUAUUCAUUUCCGUAUACAUUACUUGGCUAGAGAACUGCAUUGCAAAAUUCAGAGAAGUGCAAAUUUUAAAUGCCCUUACAUGUUUUAUUUAUUGAAUUUGUAUAGUGUCCUUCAGCCACAAGUCUCUGGGUGGUUCACAAUGCAAAAUCACAACAGAGAAACCGCAAAAUAUGUAAUAAAAAUAAGAACAACAUAAAACCAAUAAUCACUCCCAUCCCACAACACAUUUAAAAAAGCAUCAGAUGUCCAUCAGUCAGAAGCCUGGUUGAAGAGGAGUGUUUUUGUCUGGCACCUAAAGGUGUAUAAUGCAAGCACCAGCCGAACCUCCCAGAGGAGAACACCCAGCAUCUGGAGAUGUGAAUAAAUGUUUCUCUCCUACCUUUGAUCCUAGGACUGUGAUAGUUCCCAGUUCACUUCCCCGCAGGAUGCGGGUGGCGCUGUGGUCUAAACCACCAAGCCUCUUGGACUUGCCGAUUGGAAGGUCAGCGGUUCGAAUCCCUGUGACGAGUGAGCUCCUGUUACUCUGUCCCUGCUCCUGCCUACCUAGCAGUUCGAAAGCAUACCAGUGCAAGUAGAUAAAUAGGUACUGUUGUGGUGGGAAGGUAAACGGUGUUUCUGUGUGCUCUGGUUUCUGACACGGUGUUCCGUUGCGCCAGAAGCGGUAUAGUCCUGCUGGCCACAUGACCCAGAAAGCUGUCUGUGGACAAACACCAGCUCCCUCAGCCUGAAAGCAAGAUUAAUGCCGCAACCCCAUAGUCACCUUUGACUGGACUUAACCGUCCAGGGGUCCUUUACCUUACCUUUACCUCACUUCCCCGAAUCCACUAGGAAAACAUAAGGGGCAAAUGGUAGCUAAUGUAGUGCAUAGUUCUCGAAGCUACCAACAUGAGUUUGACCAAACUGCGGGAGGCAGUGGAAGACAGGACUGCCUGGCAUGCUCUGGUCCAGGGGGUCACGAAGAGUCGGACACGACUAAACGACAACAACAGUAGUGCAUCUUAACGGUACUGAGCUGUCAAACCAAGCUUCAAAAUCUCACCUCUGGUAUGACCUAACAAGAUGGCCUUAAGCCAAGCUUUCUUGGCCUAAGAGCAACCUGUAAAAUGAGGAUAAUCAUAUCUGAGUAUUUCACAAGGUGGUUACGGGAGGAUUGCUAAGGCAGCGCAUGUCAAACCAUCUAUGAACAUGCAGAAGAGUUUUCCAUAGAACACCAUCAUCUAAUGUGAUUAAAACUAAUGCAAUUCUAGGCUGAAUCAAGGGAAGCACCGUGUCUGGAUCAAGGGAAGUCCUUCCUCUUGUUUGUUCUGCAGUCUUCCAACAGUUUGCAUCACUGGAUGACCCUGGGUUCAAGUAUUAUAAGAUGGGAGAACAAAAAUCUCUCUGCUCCCACCUCCUCCCAACACACCCACUUCCUUCCCGAAACAACUUCCACUUGUUGCCUGUCCUAUGAGGGACAUCUGUCAGGCUCUGGGGACUCAGCUUCUUCUCCCCUUUGGCCGUAGAUAGGCAGGACAAGUAGAUAAGCAGUAGAUAUAGGGGCGCUGUGGGUUAAACCACAGAGCCUAGGAGUUGCCGAUCAGAAGGUCAGUGGUUCAAAUCACCGCAACGGGGUGAGCUCCCAUUGCUCGGUCCUUGCUCCUGCCAACCUAGCAAUUCGAAAGCACGUCAAGGUGCAAGUAGAUAAAUAGGUACCACUCCGGCGGGAAGGUAAACGGUGUUUCCGUGCACUGCUCUGGUUCGCCAGAAGCGGCUUGGUCAUGCUGGCCACAUGACCCAGAAGCUGUACGCCGGCUCCCUCGGCCAGUAAAGCGAGAUGAGCGCCGCAACCCCAGAGUCGUCCGCGACUGGACCUAACGGUCAGGGGUCCCUUUACCUUUAAGCAGGACAAAGCAAAAAGAGUCCCUUACCAUUUAAAGAGUCUUUAAUGAUCACAGCAAAAGAACAAAGCAUCCAUUCUAGGAAUGAAGGUAUUCCCAGUUAAGGAUUCCACUCACUUCCCCCCUCGUCAUUUCCGUUUUGCAACCUGAUCUCGCAACCAUUGUGCUUUUUGUGCAGCCACCUUAUCUGCACGAAGCGACCUUGGACUGAUAUGCUGAAUACUUCCCAGUGAGAGAGAGUCUGUUAGGUCUCCCUCUCUUUUCCUGUUCUUCUUCACUUUGCUGUUCACCCCCCAGUUCUUCCCAACUUUUGUCUUCUGAACUAUGCCCCUCUGCAAACCACUGUUCUAAAUCUAUACUGCUCCACUGUUCCUGGGCAGCUUCAGGAUCGUGGUCAGGAUCAGGGCCAAGGCGAGGCUCCCACCAUUCCUCAUCAGAGCUGUACUCCUUGGCCCGGUCUCUGACACCAUCUUUCCAACCACAAAAUCACCAAAUAGCAUUGCUACAUAGACAGUGACACCAACGAGACCCUCUCUUCCCACUGGUUUUCCUCUCUCUUCCACCUCUUCCUUUCCCUUCGCUUCUCUCCUUCCACUCCCAUCCCUCCCUCCUCCCUCCAUCUUCCUCCGUCCUUUUAUAUUGGCAAUAGGCAUACCUGUCAACUUUUCCCUUUUCUUGCGAGGAAUUCCUAUUCGGAAUAAGUUGAUAGCUAUGACGAUAGGUCUGAGAGGUAACUUCUUCUGAAAGUUAGACUGCGACUCUCCGCGACGGUAGGACUUGUCAAUUUAGAAGAAACUAUGGGAUGGGGUUGGGUGGGGGGUGGCAAGAGAGAGUAGAGAACAGAUCCGUAAAGAAGCAUGGGAAGAAUUAGUCUCCCUGGGGGGGAAAGAAAUCAGUCUGGAGGGAAAGUUUAAUUAAAAAGAGCAGAGUUUUUAAUUACCAGGGAAAUGUACUUGAAUGGUUGAUUUGCAUAAUCCCAGCGGCAGUGGGGGAACAGGCAGGGAGAAGAUAAGGUUUUUCGUUUCCUUUACAAUCGUUCUCUUGUUCUUUGCUAUCUCGCUGAAAGGAACUUUGAUCCCCAGCCCUUCCCUCCAACAGCAGCCCUGACUGCCAUCUUGCAUCUUGCAGUCAGGACUCCUGUAUGGAGGGCUGCGGCCGUCUGUUGCUUUGAGGGGGGGAGCUUGGUGGAAACAAAGGGCUUUGCUCCUUUCUCAGAGUCAUCCACUGAAAUGCAAUUUCCCCUCCUGUAAAACACACACGCGCACACAAACACACACUUUCUUCUUGUUGUUAAUGCUGUCAGGAAACGUGAACUUUUCAGGCGCUCAGCUAAUGUGUUGCAAUUGCCUUGGGGAAGGGUCUACAUUGCCUACACCCACUGCUGGCCCUCAAAAGGGUGGGUCGCCCCCAAUGCUGUCACCCCAGCUGUGGAAGAAUAGAGGGAGCUGGUAGGAAGACAUUUCACAACUGAGUAAUGUGUGUGUGUGUGUGUGUGUGUGUGUGUGUGUGUGUUUGAGAGAGAGAAAAAAACCUUGGCCACAUUCACAGCAUACUUUUAAAGCACCACAAUACAGUCAUACCUCGAGUUUUACAGACACUUCAGGUUGCGUGAUUUUGGGUUGUGUACUGCACCAAACUUGGAAGUACCAGUACCAGAAUGGGUUACUUCCGGGUUUCGGCGCUCGUGCAUGCACAGAAGUGCUAAAUCGUGCUUUGUGCAUGCGCAGAAGUGCCAAAUUGUGAGCCGCACGUGCGCAGACACGACACUGCGGGUUGCGGAUGCUACGGGUUGCGAACGUGCUUCCCAUACGGAUCACGUUCGCAACCCGAGCGUCCACUGUAUCCCUUUAAACAGUUGCAGCUUCCCCCAAUUAAUUCUGGGAACUGUAGUUUAUUCAGGAUACUGACACUUGUUAAGGUAAAGGUAAAGGGACCUGUGACCGUUAGGUCCAGUCGUGGCCGACUCUGGGGUUGCAGCGCUCAUCUCGCUUUACUGGCCGAGGGAUCCGGCGUACAGCUUCUGGGUCAUGUGGCCAGCAUGACUAAGCCGCUUCUGGUGAACCAGAGCAGUGCACGGAAAAGCCGUGUAACUUCCCGCUGGAGUGGUACCUAUUUAUCUACUUGCACUUUGACGUGCUUUCGAACUGCUAGGUUGGCAGGAGCAGGGACCGAGCAACGGGAGCUCACCCCAUCAUGGGGAUUUGAACCGCCGACCUUCCGAUCCGAUCGGCAAGCCCAAGCCCAAGGUUUAGACCACAGUGCCACCCGCAUCCCUGACACUUGUUAAGAGGCCCCUGCAAUUUCCAGAGUGGUUUAAUGGUCAAUCUCUCUUCACUGAAUCCUAGAAUCGUAGACUUGGAAAGGGAUGCCAAGGGGAUGCCAAGUCCAUCCUUGGCAUGAAAGAAUCACAAUGAAAGAAUCCCCAACAGAUGACCAUCUGACCUCCAAAGAAGGAGAGCCCACCACCUUCUGAGGGAGCCCAUUCCACAUGCGACAUCAUGUGCGCACAAUGUCCCCCUCCCUCCAAUGUUGUGCGCAAUUCAGUGCCUCUGAUCUGGAACACUCUGGAGCCGGGGAGCGGGCAGCUAAAUCCGAAAAAAUAAAAAAUAAACCUCCAAUGGUGAAUUUGAAGAAGAAAAUAUUGCUAUCUCUACUUGGGCUGAGGGGCUAGGAAAUUUACCAGAAAUAGAUCCUUCUGAUAACAAGGAGAGAAGAGAAACAGCCCGCGGGGGAAGAGAGGUUUAGCUAUAGAGGAGCUACCUCAAUGGAGAAAACACAUAAGACCCUGCUCCUAUUCAGCUGUUUGUUUGCUUCCUUGUUCAGUGUUUUGAGUCUGAAAGGGGUUGCAGGUUGUAUUGAAAGCCCCUCCUCACCCAGAUCACUUCCCCUGAUGCUUUGAAGUGCUAUUCACCGCCUCCGGUCCAUUACUUAGCCAUGAUUAAGUGCGCCAUAAUGGUUCCCCUCCCCCUCUUCCAUUCUUCCAAAUCAAUUUUCUAGGCUUUGUCAAUGGCACUUUUUUUUUCCCCUCCCAGGGUGGGGGGAAAGAUGAGAGAUAAAAGCCAAUCAGGCUUUAGAUCCAGGGAAUGUUUUCACAGACAGAGAGAAGAGGACGGCGAUUAUUGCGGCAAAUUAUAGACUAUCUUCCCUGGGUAUCUGUGUAGCCGGCUGAGCUGAAAACGGAAAAUCCGAGGCCCACAAAGCAAAUAUAUAACAAUAGUGCUUCAAAAGCUAUACAGUCAUACCUCAUGUUAUGUUUGCUUCAGGUUGAGCAUUUUCAGGUUGCGUCCUGCGGCGACCCGGAAGUAAUGGAAUGGGUUACUUCCGGUUUUCGCUGCUCGCGCGUGCAUAGGCACGCAAAAUGAUGUCACGAGCAUGCGCAGAAGCAGCAAACCAUGGCCCGCGCAGACACGGGUGGCAUUCUGUUCAGGUAGCGAACUGGCCUCUGGAAUGGAUCCCAUUCACAACCAGAGGUACCACUGUACAGUGGUCCCUCAGGUUAAGUACUUAAUUCAUUCCGGAGGUCUGUUCUUAACCUGAAACUGUUCUUAACCUGAAGCACCACUUUAGCUAAUGGGGCCUCCCGCUGCCGCUGCGCCUCCAGAGCACGAUUUCUGUUCUCAUCCUGAAGCAAAGUUCUUAACCUGAAGCAUUAUUUCUGGGUUAGCGGAGUCUGUUACCUGAAGCGUAUGUAACCUGAAGCGUAUGUAACCUGAGGUACCACUGUACAUAUAAAUACAUAUAUACAGUGGUGCCUCGCAAGACGAAAUUAAUCCGUUCCAUGAGUCUCUUCGUCUUGCGGUUUUUUCGUCUUGCGAAGCACGGCUAUUAGCGGCUUAGCGGCUUAGCGGCUAUUAACGGCUUAGCGGCUUUAAGAAAAAGGAAACAAACUCACAAGAACUUGCAAGACGUUUCGUCUUGCGAAGCAAGCCCAUAGGGAAAUUCGUCUUGCGGAACGACUCAAAAAACGCAAAACCCUUUCGUCUAGCGAGUUUUUCGUCUUGCGAGGCAUUCGUCUUGCGGGGCACCACUGUAUGUGAAUAAAGUUCUUGAAGGGGAUCUGAGAGGUAAGAGUAGAUUUACCAAGAGGUCUAGUCGUACAUGAGCUAGAGUAAUAUCUAGAUUAGCAGCUAAAUCUGGAAAGUAUGUAUUUAGCAAAUUGUGUCCAUUGCUUUGUCACCAGGGCCGUCUUACCCAUAGGUGCUAGGGGUGCGGGGCACCCGGGUGCUAGGCUCUCAGGGGCACCAGACCGAGAGUCCGGGGCCUGAGAGUUGAGUCUGGGGAAGAGCCCACCCAUCGGUCAGCGUGCCGCGGCAGGCUCUUCUGCUGUGGGAGGCUCUGUGCCUCGGGUUUGGGGCCAGCGAGAUACUGAGGCAGCCGGCUGACUCUGCCCUCCCACGUGCCUGGGACUGGGCAACCGGGUGGAUCUUUGCACCCCGGCAUUGCAUAUGCUUAAGACAGCCCUCACCCAGACCUCCAUCCCAGGGGCACUGGAUGUCAUGUGCUCUGGACACUGUUAGGUUACCUAUCGCCUCUGACCAUUGGUCAUGCUGGCUGAGGCUGAUGGGAGCUGGGAGUCCAAAAAGAUCGUGAGGGUCACACGAUGGCUACCCUGGCUUUAUUCCAAUUGUGGAGACAAAGGGUUGUUAUCUCAUGGUGACUACCCUGAGGCAACAACCUCCAGAUCCCAGUUGGCUAAAUAUGCUCCUAUUUUGGCACUGCUAAGGCACUAAGAUGCACAAGGCAAUGUUUUUAAAAUACUGCUGCUAUUUAAACAAUCAUUCUCCCAGCUAAAGAGGCAAAUGAAUUUAGGAGGAGGAAAAAUUAGGGGGGGGGGUAAGGGAGCAGUCAAAAUAUGCCUCCAAGCUAUUAAUUAGUUAAAACAUUGACAAAAGCAAAUAUUUUUUUUUAUUUUUUAUUUUAAUACUGGCAGCUUCCUAACCACAAAAUUCAAAGAAUAAUCUCCAUCUGCCCAGACUGGAGAAGUUUGCAAGAAGCAGGUUCAUUCUGAACCACAUGUCCACCUGCUCAAGUCUUUUAAUCUCUUUGCAAAUUUAUUUGCGGCAGCCAAGUUUUAUGUUGUAGAGCAAUCAGUUGUUAAAAAGUAUCCUAAACUUCUGCCUGAUCGCUUUCCGUAAGCAAAUCAGCCUGAUUUCUCCCGAUGUGGGAUGCUGUCUUGACUGGCAAAUGAAGGAAACAGAUAGUAUUCAACACACACAUUUAAAGAACUAAUCAGAUCUUACUGCAAGGCACUGCAAUUUCGCUGAUGGGAAACUUUUAUGACACCUUCCGAAGCCCCAAGAUACACAUGGGGGGGGGGACUAGCAGAGAGAAGGUUCAGAUGGAGAGGGUGUGAUUUGCAUACAAAAGGUUCAAUCCUGAGCAUCACCAGGUCGGACUGGGAAAGACUCUUCGCCAGAAACCCCGCAGCACCACUGGCAGUCAGUGUAGACAAGUGAUGGCCAAACUUGGCCCUCCAGCUGCUUGGGGACUACAGUUCCCAUCAUCCCUGACCACUGGUCCUGCUAGCUAGCGAUGAUGGGAAUUGUAGUCCCAAAACAGCUGGAGGGCCAAGUUUGGCCAUCACUGGUGUAGACCAAACUUCCAAGCAUCUGGUCACUUCCAGAUGUUUUUGACUCCAACUCCUAACAUCCUUCGCCAGCAACUGAGAGGCUUAUAUGCUCUGGUCUCCUAAAACACAUCCAGGCCACAGCUUCUGGCAGUGAAGAAGUCUUAAAGGGUAAAGGUACUCCUGACCAUUAGAUCCAGUCGUGGCCGACCCUGGGGUUGUGGUGCUCAUCUCGCUUUAUUGGCCGAGGGAGCCAGCGUACAGCUUCCGGGUCAUGUGGCCAGCAUGACUAAGCUGCUUCUGGUGAACCAGAGCAGCGCACGGAAAUGCCGUUUACCUUCCCGCCUGGGUGGUACCUAUUUAUCUACUUGCACUUUGACGUGCUUUCGAACUGCUAGGUUGGCAGGAGCAGGGACCGAGCAACGGGAGCUCACCCCAUCACAGGGAUUCGAACCGCUGACUUUCUGAUCGACAAGCCCUAGGCUCUGUGGUUUAACCCACAGUGCCACCCACGUCCCUAGGAGUCUUACUCACAGGUAAAGGAAUCCUGCUAGGUUGGCAGGAGCAGGGACCGAGCAACGGGAGCUCACCCCAUCGAGGGAAUUCGAACCGCCGACCUUCUGAUCGGCAAGCCCUAUGCUCUGUGGUUUAACCCACAGUGCCACCCACGUCCCUAGGAGUCUUACUCACAAGUAAGGAGUCUUACUCACAAGUAAAAAGGAGAUUGCGACUAAACGUCAGGAAGAACUCUCUGAGGGUAAGAGCUGUUCGACAGUGGAACGGAAUCCAUCAAAUAGAGGUUGGGUGACUAUCUGUCAGGAAUCCUUCAGCUGUGAUUCCUGCAUUGCAGGCGGGUCAGACUAAAUGCCCCUUGAGGGCCCUUUCUAACUAUAAUUCUAUGAUUCUAGGUUGCGUGACAAGCAGCGCAUUUCUGCCUGUAUUCCAAAGUCUUGGUUGUGACUCAAUGACACGUGCCAGACAAAGUCUUUCAAGGGAGGGGGGAAACGUUCAAUAUUUAUGUGAUUGCAUGGCAUCAUGAAUGUUUUAUCUUUCGGGAAGUUGAAAGGUUCCACUCCCUAAAGACAAAAGUAGAAGAGCAAAUGGACCCUGAUCCCUGCUGUGUUCAGGCAGCAGCUUAUAGGAUAAAGAGCGUCUGGGUCUCAGGCUGCCAAAACAAUGGCGAAACUCCAUACUUUUCAGAUAUGAAUUUUUAUUAGUUUUCACAUUUUUAUACAUUUUAAAGGUAAAGGUAAAGGUACCCCUGCCCAUACGGGCCAGUCUUGCCAGACUCUAGGGUUGUGCGCUCAUCUCACUCUAUAGGCCAGCGCUGUCCGCAGACACUUCCGGGUCACGUGGCCAGCAUGACGAAGCUUCAUCUGGCGAGCCAGCGCAGCACACGGAACGCCGUUUGCCUUCCUGCUGGUAAGCGGUCCCUAUUUAUCUACUUGCACUUUAAGGGUGCUUUCGAACUGCUAGGUUGGCAGGCGCUGGGACCGAACGAUGGGAGCGCACCCCGCCGCGGGGAUUCGAACCGCCGACCAUGCGAUCGGCAAGUCCUAGGCGCUGAGGUUUUACCCACAGCGCCACCCGCGUCCCUUUUAUACAUUUUAGCUCUAACCAAAUUCAUAUAGCUCUAACCAAUUCAUAUAUCAUUCAUAUAUUCAUAUAUCAAAUUACAAGGUUCUCUGAACCUUCAGACUUCCUGCCCUCCCUCCCCUGGGUUCAUCUAUCAUAAAAUAUAUUUUUUUUGCAUCUUAUGCUUUUUCCAGUUGUUAUAUAUCCAUAUAUCCCUAAAUAAUAAUAAUAAUAAUAAUAAUAAUAAUAAUAAUAAUAAUAAUAAUUUUAUAUAUACCCCACCCUCUCCUGCCAGAGCCAGACUCAGGGCAGCUAACACCAGUAAAAAUUACAGUAAAAACAUAAUAGGGGGAAAAACCCAAUUUAAAAUACAGGUUAAAAUACAAUUCAAAAUGCAGCCUCAUUUUAAUAGUAGCCCAUAGAUCAAAACCAUAAGGGGCGGGAAACAUAAGGGUCAGACUGAGUCCAAACCAAAGGCCAGGCAGAACAGCUCUGUCUUGCAGGCCCUGCGGAAAGAUGUCAAGUCCCGCAGGGCCCUAGUCUUUCGUGACAGAGUGUUCCACCACGUCGGGGCCAGUACUGAAAAGGCCCUGGCCCUAGUUGAGACCAAUCUAACCACCUUGCGACCUGGGGCCUCCAAAAUGUUGUCAUAAUCAAUUUCACAUUACAAAUGUCAUUACAAUGCUACCAAUGAUUUUAACUGUUUACAAUGGUUUUUAAAUAAACUACAAAUUUACUCCAGUCUCUUAACAGAUACUUGAUCUUCUUGCUUUCUGAUCUUCCCCACCAGUUUUGGCCAAUUCUGCAUUUUCCAUCAAUUUCAUCUGCCAGAAACUCCAUACUUCCCUUGCUGCCAUUGUCUUCCUCACAGUGCUGUUGGCAACAGGUAGCCAUUCCAAGGCUGGUGUUUGCCAGAUCAAGGUAACAAACUCAGGAUCCGUUUACUCACGAGAUCACCUUACCCCAUAUGGGCCCACUUGGCCACUUUGAUCCGCAGAAUUGGCACCAUUACAGGUGCCACAUAAUAUCCAUUCUGCAUUGGUAAGAAAUCAAUCUUUUAGUGUGACAGCACCUUUGGAACUCCCUACCUAUUGACAUCGGGACGUGGGUGGCGCUGUGGGUAAAACCUCAGCGCCUAGGACUUGCCAAUCGCAUGGUCGGCGGUUCGAAUCCCCUCGGCAGGGUGAGCUCCCGUCGUUCGGUCCCAGCUCCUGCCCACCUAGCAGUUCAAAGCACUCUUAAAGUGCAAGUAGAUAAAUAAAUACCGCUUUAUAGCGGGAAGGUAAACGGCGUUCCGUGUGCUGCUCUGGUGCCGGUUCGCCAGAGCAGCUUCGUCACGCUGGCCACGUGACCCGGAAGUGUCUGCGGACAGCGCUGGCUCCCGGCCUCUAGAGUGAGAUGAGCGCACAACCCUAGAGUGUGUCAAGACUGGCCCGUACGGGCAGGGGUACCUUUACCUUUACCUAUUGAUAUCUGGUAGACACCAUUCCUGUACUCUUUUCAGCUCCUGCUAAAAAGUAUUCUUGUUUAGACAAACCUAUCCAGAUGUUUAGAAGAUUGAUCUGAAUUUUAAUCUGUUUUUGGUCCAUGGUUAGUUAAACUUUUCAAAGGUCUUACAAUAUUGUUGUUAAUUUUUCUGAGUGAUAGUUUUGUUGUUUCAUCUUCUUAUUUUGUAAUUCAAGCGGUGUAUAAAGGGACCCCUGACCAUUAGGUGCAGUCGUGACCAACUCUGGGGUUGCGGCGCUCAUCUCACUUUAUUGGCCGAGGGAGGCGGCGUACAGCUUCCGGGUCAUGUGGCCAGCAAGCCGCUUCUGGCAAACCAGAGCAGUGCACGGAAAUGCCGUUUACCUUCCCGCCAGAGACGUACCUACUUAUCUACUUGCACUUUUAUGUGCUUUCGAACUGCUAGGUUGGCAGGAGCAGGGACCGAGCAACGGGAGCUCACCCCGUUGCGGGGAUUCGAACCGCCGACCCUCUGAUCGGCAAGUGCUAGGCUCUGUGGUUUAACCCACAGCGCCACCCGCGUCCCGUCAAGUGGUGUAUACAUUCUAUGAAAUAAAACGACAAGGACAGUACAGCAUUCCUCUGCAAAAUCCUGGGCCUGUUUGCAAGUUAAUGAAGCUAUUAUUUCAGAAGAACCUCAGCAGCUCAAUAAGGGAUGAGGAAUCUCUGGACCAUGAGUUUUAUCAGGCAAGCCUGGUUACUUUGGCAAAGCUGGGCCAAUGUACCCUACCUCCAAUGUUCACAAAUAUUGAGCUCUGCAUUGCAGUGCUAUGAAAAGAGGAGGAGCGGUGAAGCCUAUUGUAAGCAAUUAAUAAUACGCAGCAGAGAUUCAGAUCCACCAGGCUAAAACAGCACACCUGCUUUUGCAGAUAAGUACCCCAAGCAGCAUUUGUUAGGCUGUGUGAACAAGUGUGGGAAUGUUUUGGUUUCACCCAUGUCUGUGUCCCAUCACCUCUGGCAAUCCAGACUGAAUUGUGUACAGUGGUACCUCGGGUUACAGACUCUUCAGGUUACAGACUCCACUAACACAGAAAUAGUACCUCGGGUUAAGAACUUUGCUUCAGGAUGAGAACAGAAAUCGUGCUCCGGGGGGGCAGUGGCAGCAGGAGGCCCCAUUAGCUAAAGUGGUACCUCAGGUUAAGACCGGUUUCAGGUUAAGAACGGACCUCCAGAACGAAUUAAGUUCUUAACCCGAGGUACCACUGUAUUGUCUUAGGAAGCUCACACAAGUUUGCAACUACAGUGGUACCUCAGGUUACAUAUGCUUCAGGUUAUAGACGCUUCAGGUUACAGGCGCUUCAGGUUACAGACUCCACUAACCCAGAAAUAUUACCUCGGGUUAAGAACUUUGCUUCAGGAUGAGAACAGAAAUCGUGCGGUGGCAGCAGAAGGCCCCAUUAGCUAAAGUGGUGCCUCAGGUUAAGAACAGUUUAGGUUAAGAACAGACCUCCAGAACCAAUUACCGUAAGUUCUUAACCCGAGGUACCACUGUAGUUAUCUGCUGUGCGUGAGAAGGGGAAUGUAAACUCUGCUAAGUAAAGGAACCUGCAAGUGCAGGUUAGGAAGGAUAUUAAUAAACAAUAUAUCCUCUCCUGCCACCCUGAACAUUCCCACACUUAGGACCAAAAGCCUGAGUUAGGUUAAGGCAGGUUUCUUUAUUCUGAGGAAAAUGCUGUGAAAGAAAUCCUCUCUCUCUCUCUCUCUCUCCCUGAAGUUGUAGUAUAUAUGUGUGUGUGUGUGUGUGUGUUUCUUUUUUAAAAAGCCAAUAUGUCCUGUGGCAUUAACAAGCUUUAGGAGGAAGGAGUGCACGGGGGGGGGGGGGGACACAGGUUUGUGUUUUGCUUGCAGCAGAUGUACAAUUUGUCCCCUUGCCACUAGAAACAACCCCUUGAUGCGUCAAAAGGAAUGAGCCUCUCGCGAGUUCCUGAUUGUUGCAACAUCCAAAGCUCUCCCCAGAGACGCCCCCAUUGUUUGUGUUUUCUAUAAAGUGAAAGACGCCUCUCAGUUGCCCUCCAGCAUCGAGGGUUGCAGUAAAGAAGACAGCAGAUGGAUGGGAAAGGCUCUGGGAUCUGAGCAUCGCCCACGCUUCCCGCUGAAGCCUGCAUCCUGAUGCUCAACUUUUCAACUUCUACCUGCAGGGGGGAUUGUAAGAGUUCGCUCCUCCUUUUGUCUGCCCAGUAUCUGCCUCCCUGCAGAUAGAGCUGCCAGCUAAAAAUAAACUCAGGCAAUCUGUAUUCCGGUAGCCCUGCUGCGUGGCUCCAGGUCUCCUUUUGCAUAAGCCUUUCCUUUUCCCCCCUCCACUCUAUGGACACGGGACACGGGUGGCACUGUGGGUUAAACCACAGAGCCUAGGACUUGCUGAUCAGAAGGUCGGCGGUUCGAAUCCCCGCGAUGGAGUGAGCUCCCAUUGUUCGGUCCCUGCUCCUGCCAACCUAGCAGUUCGAAAGCACAUAAAAGUGCAAGUAGAUAAAUAGGUACCACUCCAGCGGGAAGGUAAACGGCGUUUCCGUGCGCUGCUCUGGUUCGCCAGAAGUGGCUUAGUCCUGUUGGCCACAUGACCCGGAAGCUGUACACCGGCUCCCUCGGCCAAUAAAGCGAGAUGAGCACUGCAACCCCAGAGUCGGUCACGACUGGACCUAAUGGUCAGGGGUCCCUUUACCUUUACCUUCCUUCUCCCCCCUCCACUCUAGCACACUCUCUGUCUUACGUGGGAGCAGCAUAUCGAAGAAGCAGAUAUGUAAAGAACAUAAGAAGUGUCUGGAGGCUGGAUCAGGCCAAUGGCCCAUCUACUCCAGCGUCCUGUUCUCACAGCAGCCCAACCAGAUGCCUCUCCUGGGAAGCCCGCAAGCAAAACCUGAGCCCAAAAGCUGGGUGUACUCUGUGUAACAUGCACACACAAGCUGCUGAAUCCUGAAACAAUGAAAAUGAAUAAUAAUAAUAAUAAUAAUAAUAAUAAUAAUUUAUUAUUUAUACCCCGCCCAUCUGGCUGGGUUUCCCCAGCCACUCUGGGCGGCUUCCAACAGAAUAUUAAAAUACAAUAGUCUAUUAAACAUUAAAAGCUUCCCUAAACAGGGCUGCCUUCAGAUGUCUUCUAAAAGUCUGGUAGUUGUUGUUCUCUUUGACAUCUGGUGGGAGGGUGUUCCACAGGGAGGGCGCCAUUACCGAGAAGGCCCUCUGCCUGCUUCCCUGUAACUUGGCUUCUUGCAGCGAGGGAACCGCCAGAAGGCCCUCGGUGCUGGACCUCGGUGUCCGGGUAGAAUGAUGGGGGUGGAGACGCUCCUUCAGGUACAGUGGUGCCCCGCAAGACGAACGCCUCGCAAGACGAAAAACUCGCAAGACGAAAGAUUUUUUCAUUUUCGAGUUGCUUCGCAAGACGAAUUUCCCUAUGGGCUCGCUUCGCAAGACGAAAACGUCUUGCAAGUUUGUUUCCUUUUUCGUAAAACCGUUAAUACCCAGGGUGCAUUGCUUGAAGAGGUGCAGUUGCGACUUGACUUCGAGGAGCAACACAUUGCACGCGGUGUGGUGGCCUUUUUGAGCUUUUUAAAGAGUUUGCUGAAUUUUUGAAGCUUUUCCAAAACUUCUUUUGCAGCUGUUUGGUAAGUUAAACUUUUAAUACUUUUUUGGGGGGGUUUGGAUUUUGGGUUGGGGUGUUUAGAAUUCAAGGACUUGGUGAUGGGGAGAGGUUUGCAAGAAUCUGGGAGCUUGUGUGGUUUUUUCUGCAUUUUUAUGGUUUUCUGUGACCAUUGGGCCAUGUUGUUUUUUUGAAAAAAAAUUCUGGGUUUUGAAUUUCUGUGUGCUGGGUGGCUGGGGGAACAGUUGAGGAGGGGUUUGCAACAGUUGGGGAGGGGCUGGGGGAACAGUUGAGGUUUUUGAAGACUUUGGUGAUUUUUAAAGCUUUCCCAAAACUUCUUUUGCAGCCAUUUGAGGAUUUUGAAGACUUUGGUGAUUUGCAGCCAUUUCGUAAGUUAAACUUUUAAAACUUUUUGGGGGGUUUUUGGAUUUUGGGUUGGGUGUUUGGAAUUCAAGGACUUGGUUCUGGGUUUGAAUUGCUGGGGUUUUUUUCCUUUUUCUGAGUUUACGAAGGUAAGAGCUGUGCUGCCAUGGGACCCAAGAAGACUGCUGCUGCUGCGGAGUCCAGCGAGAGGAAGAAGGAGAAGGUGACGCUGGAAAUGAAGAAGGAGAUCAUCCGGAAGCACGAUGGUGGAAUGCGUGCGAUGGACCUCGCCAGGGAGUACGGCAGGAACCCAUCGACCAUCGGGACCAUCAUGAAGAUGAGGGAGAAGAUCCUUGCGACUGAUGCAGCCAAGGGAGUCAUUUGUGGACAAAAUGGACUGUUUCAAGAGGUGGCAGAGAGAUAUUUCUAGAUUUGUCUGGCAGGGCAAGAAGCCCAGAAUAAAAUUUAAAAUACUAACAGAUAUAAAGGAGAGAGGUGGAUUUGCCCUGCCAGACCUUAAACUUUAUUAUGAAUCAGGAGCUUUUUGCUGGUUGAAAGAAUGGCUGCUUCUUGAAAACACUGACAUUUUGGAUUUAGAAGGUUUUAACAAUGUAUUUGGAUGGCAUGCAUACUUGUGGUAUGAUAAGGUCAAAGCACAUAAAGCAUUUAAAAAUCAUAUUGUCAGGAAAGCUUUAUUUAAUGUUUGGAUAAGAUAUAAGGAUUUAUUGGAAAAUAAAACCCCAAGGUGGCUGUCACCGAUGGAAGCGAAAGCUUUGAAAAAGCUCAAUAUGGAGGUCAAAUGGUCGAAAUAUUGGGAAAUUUUAGAACAAGAUGGUGAUAGAUUGAAACUGCAGAGUUUUGAAAAACUAAAAAAUAAAGUGCGAGACUGGCUUCAUUAUUAUCAGAUAAUGGAGGCAUACAUUUUGGACAAAAAAAUUGGCUUCCAGGUGGAAAAAUCAAAAUUAGAAACAGAACUAUUAGAACCCAAAAUUAAGAAUUUGUCAAGAAUGUAUAACUUGCUGCUGAAAUGGAAUACUCAGGAUGAAACGGUGAAAUCUGCUAUGAUUAAAUGGGCACAAGAUGUUGGACAUAAUAUUAUGUUUGCUGACUGGGAACAGUUAUGGACCACAGGUAUGAAGUUCACGGCAUGUAAUGCCCUAAGAGAGAAUAUUAUGAAAAUGAUAUACAGGUGGUACAUGACCCCAGUCAAGCUUGCAAAAAUCUACCAUUUGCCCGAUAAUAAAUGUUGGAAAUGUAAAGAAACUGAAGGUACAUUUUUCCACCUUUGGUGGACGUGCCCAAAGAUUAAGGCUUUCUGGGAGAUGAUAUAUAAUGAAUUAAAAAGGUAUUUAAAUAUACCUUCUUGAAGAAACCAGAGGCCUUUCUCCUGGGCAUAGUCGGCCAAUCGGUGUUAAAAAGGACAGAACUUUCUUUAUGUAUGCUACAACAGCAGCAAGAAUACUCAUCGCAAAGUAUUGGAAGACACAAGAGCUACCCACACUGGAGGAAUGGCAGAUGAAAAUGAUGGACUACAUGGAAUUGGCGGAAAUGACUGGCAGAAUCCGUGACCAGGGAGAAGAGUUGGUGGAAGAAGAUUGGAAGAAAUUUAAAGAUUAUUUACAGAAACAUUGCAAAAUUAAUGAAUGUUAGAGUGAUGUUGGAUUGAAGUUAAGUGGCUUCUAGCUGUACAGGUUUUAAAGCUAUAAAUAUAUCAAGAUUAAGGAUUAGGAUCAAAAAGGUUAAGAGAAAUGGAAAAAUUGGUUCUAAAUAGGUAAAAAUCUAAUGUCAUAAUAUAUUAAGAUUUAGGAUUGGAAUUAAAAAGGAGGGAAAGAAAUUGCUGGGCUUACAAACUGAAUUGGAAUACAAAAGAGGGAGGUAUGAGGAAGUCCGGGAAACAAGUAAAUGUAAAAGAAGUUAUGAAAAGACGGAACUAUUUUUAACUGUUUUUUUCUUUUUUCUUUUUUCUUUUUUUUUCUUUUUUCUAUUUUGUAUUUUGUAUUUUGUAUGGUGUAUUUUUCUCUGUUUUUGUUAAAAUUUUUCUUGUUUAUUAAUGUGAUUUUAUUAUUUCUGAAACUUUAAUAAAUAUUAAUUAAAAAAAAAAAAGGAUCGUGAAGAACCGCCCAGCUGUUCUGGAGGAGGUCGAGAAGUUGCUGCUCAUCUGGUUAGAAGAGAAGCAGCGUGCAGGGGACACAGUGACUGAGGCCGUGAUUUGUGAAAAGGCCAAGGCCUUGCACGCAGACCUCAUCCGGGAACAGCCAGGAACCUCAGGCGAGCCAGAAGUCUUCAAGGCAAGCAGAGGCUGGUUUGACCGGUUCAAGGCAAGAUCUGGAAUCCACAGCGUGGUCAGGCAUGGAGAGGCUGCCAGUUCUGAUGUUCCUGCGGCUGAAGACUUUGCCUUGGAGUUCCUGGAGGUUGUGAAGACGGAGGGCUACGUUCCACAGCAGGUCUUCAACUGCAACGAGACCGGGCUGUUUUGGAAGAGGAUGCCCAAAAGGACUUUCAUCACACAGGAGGAGGCCAAGUUGCCUGGCCACAAGCCCAUGAAGGACCGCCUGACCCUGCUCUUCUGUGUCAACGCAAGCGGCGACCUGAAGAUCAAGCCCCUGCUGGUGUACCACUCGGAGAACCCAUGGGCCUUCAAGAAACACAAGGUCGACAAGGAGCGGCUGAGUGUCAUGUGGCGAUCCAACAGCAAGGCUUGGGUCACACGUGUGCUGUUUGUGGACUGGGUCAAUCUUGCUUUUGGCCCUGCUGUCAAACAGUACCUGCUGGACAACGACCUGCCGCUGAAGGCUUUGCUUCUGAUGGACAAUGCUCCUGCUCAUCCUAAAGGCCUUGAGGUGGACUUGUUGGAGGAGUUCAGCUUCAUCAACAUCAUGUUCCUGCCGCCUAACACCACGCCACUGCUCCAGCCGAUGGAUCAGCAGGUCAUCACCAAUUUCAAAAAACUCUACACCAAGGAGCUUUUCAGGCGAUGCUUCAAGGUGACUGAUUGCACCACCAUCACCCUGCGGGAAUUCUGGAAGGACCACUUCGACAUCGUCACCUGCUUGAAGAUGAUCACCACGGCCUGGAACGGGAUCAGCCAGAGAAAUUUGAAUUGCGCUUGGCGCAGCCUGUGGCCGGACUGUGUGGCACCAAGUGACUCUGAUGCACCAGAGUCAACAGUGGUGCAGGACAUUGUUGCCUUGGGGAGGACCAUGGGCCUGGAGGUCACAGAGGAGGACGUCAGCGAGCUGGUGGAGGAGCACGACCACGAGCUGACCACCCAGGAGCUGGUUGAACUGCAGGCAGAGGUUGCGCAGGAGCAGGCCUCGCUGGAAGAGGAGGAAGCAACUGAGGAACGGCUGUCCUCCAAAGAACUGAGGGACAUUUGCCAGAAGUGGAAGGAGGUGAAGGCUUUGCAGAGCGGCACCACCCUGACAAGCACGUGGCACAUGACCAAGCGAACACUUUUGAUACUGACGGUCAUGUUGCCUCUCAGGGAGCUGCUGAAAAGGCGGAUGAAGCAGCAGACCAUGGACAGGUUCCUCAGCAAGAAGCAAAGAGAGGAAGAGGAACCUUCUUUGAGUGGUCCCCCAGAGUCUUAGAAAAUGUAUGUACAGUACACUUUGUUGAUUUUUAAAUGUUUUUCUGUCAUGUUUAGAAACUUAAUUUAUUGUUCCUUCAAUUUUUGAAAUGCUCUUUAAAGUAUGUGUGACUUUAAAGAGCAGUUAAUAAACUAUUGUUGUACCAAAUUUGGCUUUGUUUGGACUUUUUUUGACCAUAGGAACGCAGUAAUUGAAUUUCAAUGCAUUCCUAUGGGAAACCGUGCUUCGCAAGACGAAAAAUUCGCUAGACGAAAAAACUCACUGAACGAAUUAAUUUCGUCUUGCGAGGCACCACUGUACUGUAUUUUUUGCUCUAUAAGACUCACUUUUUCCCUCCUAAAAAGUAAGGGGAAAUGUGUGCGUCUUAUGGAGCGAAUGCAGGCUGCGCAGCUAUCCCAGAAGCCAGAACAGCAAGAGGGAUCGCUGCUUUCACUGCGCAGCGAUCCCUCUUGCUGUUCUGGCUUCUGAGAUUCAGAAUAUUUUUUUUCUUGUUUUCCUCCUCCCAAAACUAGGUGCGUCUUGUGGUCUGGUGCAUCUUAUAGAGCAAAAAAUGUCGUAUAUUGGACCGAGGCCAUUUAGGGCUUUAAAAGUCAGCACCAGCUUGACUCUUUCUCCCCUAAUGUCAAUUUUUCAAUUAAAUUUUAAAAUAUUGACAUAUACAUUCCAGAUUUCAAAUUUCUUCUACGUUUCCCUUUAAACUUUGACUUUCCAGCUUUCCUCCCAUGCUGCUCUUAAUCCCAUUCUUUGACUUGACUUUUUAAAUUUUUUUUAAAAAAAUGAAAAGUGAGCAGGGUUUUUACAAAAGAAUGUUGAAUUCUCUGCCAGGUAUCCCGUUUCUGCCAUGCAAUUGUGACCACCUGAAAGUGAUACAGCUUAGGAAGUUUGAGACUGAGACUGUCUGCCAUAAGAAAAUCAGAUAAUUCUUUUGAGGUUGGAAUUGGAUGGCAUCGACAAACCAAGCAGGAAGUAGGCAGAGCCCUGCCUAUCGGAUCCACCGUGGACUUUCUCAUUCCUUAUUAUCAAGGACCAAUUGGAUUGGCUUUUAAAAAGCAUUGCUCCACCCACUUUUGCUUCUGGCCCCACCCACCACAGCCAAGACUGUCCAGGAAGGAAUGUGGCUCUCUUGGGAUGAAAAGGUUCACUGCCCCUUGCAUGAAGACUCCAUUACUGUGGGAUGUGAAAGCAAGAGCAGUCAACAUUCCUAGACUGAACAUGUUUAAACAUGGGAGGAAUGUUUGUUCAGCCAGCAGGUAAACUUCCUGUUUCCUUCUGGGCUGGGACAGACUUCCUCUGCAUGUGACUGGAGGUGGGUGUGGCCUCACCUGUGCAGGUAAUGACAAAAGCACAGGGCAGGGCAGCCAUCUCUCUCUCUUUGACUACAUGCAUCAAAGAAGCAACAUCUGCUUAGCCAAAGAUGCUCUCUUGGCCUCUAGCCAAGAGAGGACAAAGGGACUGUCUCCUUAUGAGGUAUAUGUUACUUUUGUAAGCUAAGUCUGCCUUCUGGGAUCCUAUUGUGAACAGAAUGAUGUGUGAGUAAACCUUUUUAUACUUUUAUAGAAGACUGUGUCAUGUCUUAUCUUUUAUGAGGGAAAAAGGGGGGAAAUACUACAACAGUUAUUAUAGAGGCUUUAGUGAGCCUGAGCAAACGCAUCCGCUGCAAGUUUAAAAAGGGGAUGUUACUCUGCUAAAUUGUGAACUUGUUAACACAAGUUGGAAAAAGAUAUAAUCAAACAAUAUAUCCUCUCCUGCAUCCCUGAACAUUCCCAAUAUAACGUCUCCAGCGCUCAGCCACCCCCAAGAAACUGACCCUAAGAAGGCAGCCAAACAGCUCUGGGAUGGGGGGAGAGUAGGAGCAGAUCCCUCGCGAAGAGACAGAUCAUGUAUCCAUGAUCACAGAGAGAGCAGGAAGCGAAGCAGACCGUUUUCUGCGAGCCAUCUUUGAAAACUAAUAACUCUGCCAGCAUCUCGGCCCAGCCAAGCCUGAAGGCACAGCCUGACCACUUAGUCUCUCUGACAGGAGGAAAUUUUCUCAGUUCCAAGCUGUCGCUUUGCAUUAGAGCAACUCCCUUCCGCUGCUGCGUUGAGUGUCAGCCGGACAAAAGCAGAAGCGCCAGGCCACGUGGGGGAACGCCGAUGACCUUUCGCUAACAAGGAGCCUGGCUUGGCGCUCACCUCCCACCACUCGCUCAGAAGCCUUCAGGGAGAGCAACCCUUACAAAGUCCUGUUCGCAAGAAAAGUCAAAUGUGGCGUGUAGCCAGAGGCUCCCAAAGGGGGUCCUUGAUUCCUCAGCAUCCUCAGAACUUUUUGUGAGUCGAGGACCCUCCACCUACAUAGGAUUAUGUUGCUGUUGUUGUUGUCGUUUAGUCGUUUAGUCGUGUCCGACUCUUCGUGGUCCCAUGGACCAGAAUGCCUAACUGCCAAUACCAGAAAGUUGUGACGAAUUGCUACAAGGUAGGCAAAAAAAGUAAAAAGCAGAGACAUCACCUUGCCGACAAAGGUCCGUAUAGUUAAAGCCAUGGUUUUCCCAGUAGUGAUGUAUGGAAGUGAGAGCUGGACCAUCAAGAAGGCUGAUCGCCGAAGAAUGGAUGCUUUUGAAUUCUGGUGCUGGAGGAGACUCUUGAGAGUCCCAUGGACUGCAAGAAGAUCAAACCUAUCCAUUCUGAAGGAAAUCAGCCCUGAGUGCUCACUGGAAGGACAGAUCCUGAAGCUGAGGCUCCAAGACUUUGGCCACCUCAUGAGAAGAGUAGACUCCCUGGAAAAGACCCUGAUGUUGGGAAAGAUGGAGGGCACGAGGAGAAGGGGACGACAGAGGACGAGAUGGUUGGACAGUGUUCUCAAAGAGACCAAUAUGACUUUGACCAAAAUGCGAGAGGCAGUGGAAGACACGAGUGCCCAGCAUGCUCUGGUCCAUGGGGUCAUAAAGAGUCAGACACGACUAAACGACUAAACAACAACAACAACAGGCGAAAAAACCAAGAGGCUGGUGCCAAUUUGCCAAAUGGAUAAAAAAAAGUUCAACCAGGCCCCUUGGGCAACCAAGGCAACCAACCGAAGUCCAUAGUAAGGUCAAUAUGCAAAAGAAGCUGACCUAAGAGGGACGGAGGGUGGGAGAUCCGAAGAAACUGGGAGCUGAGCACUGCUGAGGCCGUUUAAAUGUGGCUAGCCCCGCCCACCAGCCAGCCCUAUUGGUCGGCUGGAAGGCUUGGCCGUGGCAGCAGAAGCAAUCAGGAGCAGGGAGCUGAGCACGCCUCCCUGCCGCCACGGGAAGCUGCUCCCGCCCACAACCCCUUCCCUCUGAGGGGAGGAGAGGCCUUCAAUACCAGCAUAUCCCAGUCGCGACCAAUGCCCCGAAAAGAAAUAUGCGGGCAGACUUGGUACCUUUUUGUUGUUGUUUUUUUAAAAUGAACCUACUGCUCUAUGGUGAAGGUUGGAAGAUUCAGGACACAUAAAAGGAAGUAGUUCUUUGUGCAGCACACAGGUAAUCUAUGGAACUCCCUGCCACAGGAGGCAAAAGUGACCAAUAACCUGAAUGGCUUUAAAAAAGGAUCAGGCAAAUUCAUGGAGGAGACAAGUGUUGCCACGUGCAUUCUUUCCACAUUCUGAAGUUUUCAAUAAGUUGCGGGGGGGUGGGGAGAGAGAAAGAGAGGGAGAAGAUGGCUUUCAGAUGGCAAAAUUGAAUUCUGGAACCAAGGUUUUGCAUUGAUGAGGUUUUGCUUCCCAAAAUAUUUGUUUCUAUCAGGAUCUCAGCCUUGGUUCUAUGGGAACUUAUUUAAAGAUAAUUAUGAAAAUGUUGGUUGGAAGUGAAAAAAGAUUUAGAAAUUUGGUCAAAUUUGAAACUCUCACUGCUGGGCCGUAUUGCUGUGAUAAAAAUGAAUGUAUUGCCUAGAAUGUUGUUUUUGUUUCAGACAUUGCAAAUUGUGGACAAGAUGGACUGUUUCAAGAAGUGGCAGAGAGAUAUUUCUAGAUUUGUCUGGCAGGGCAAGAAGCCCAGAAUAAAAUUUAAGAUAUUAACUGAUGCAAAGGAAAGAGGUGGAUUUGCCCUGCCAGACUUUAAACUUUAUUAUGAAUCAGCAGCUUUUUGCUGGUUGAAAGAAUGGCUACUUCUUGAAAAUACAGACAUUUUGGAUUUAGAAGGUUUUAACAACGUAUUUGGAUGGCAUGCAUAUUUACGGUAUGAUAAGGUCAAAGCACAUAAAGCAUUUAAAAAUCAUAUUGUUAGGAAAGCACUGUUUAAUGUUUGGAUAAGAUACAAGGAUUUAUUGGAAAAUAAAACCCCAAGGUGGUUGUCACCGAUGGAAGCGAAAGCUCUGAAAAAGCUCAAUAUGGAGGCCAAAUGGCCGAAAUAUUGGGAAUUUUGGAACAAGAAGGAGACAAAUUGAAAUUGCAGAGUUUCGAGAAACUAAAAAUAAAGUGAGAGAUUGGCUUCAUUAUUAUCAGAUAAUGGAGGCAUAUAAUUUGGAUAAGAAAAUUGGCUUCCAGGUGGAAAAAUCAAAACUAGAAACAGAACUGUUAGAACCCAAAACUAAGAAUUUGUCAAGAAUGUAUAACUUGCUGUUGAAAUGGAAUACUCAGGAUGAAACGGUGAAAUCGGCUAUGAUUAAAUGGGCACAAGAUGUUGGACAUAAUAUUAUGUUUGCUGACUGGGAACAGUUAUGGACCACAGGUAUGAAGUUUACGGCAUGUAAUGCCCCUAAGAGAGAAUAUUAUGAAAAUGAUAUACAGGUGGUACAUGACCCCAGUCAAGCUUGCAAAAAUCUACCAUUUGCCCGACAAUAAAUGAUGGAAAUGUAAAGAAACUGAAGGUACAUUCUUUCACCUUUGGUGGACGUGCCCAAGGAUUAAGGCUUUCUGGGAAAUGAUAUAUAAUGAACUGAAAAAGGUAUUUAAAUAUACCUUCUUGAAGAAACCAGAGGACUUUCUUCUGGGCAUUGUCGGCCAAGUGGUGCCAAAGAAGGACAGAACUUGUUAAAUGUAUGCUACAACAGCAGCAAGAAUACUCAUUGCAAAGUAUUGGAAGACACAAGAUCUACCCACUUUGGAAGAAUGGCAGAUGAAGGUGAUGGACUAUAUGGAACUGGCAGAAAUGACUGGCAGAAUCCGAGACCAGGGAGAAGAGUCGGUGGAAGAAGAUUGGAAGAAAUUUAAAGACUAUUUACAGAAAUAUUGUAAAAUUAAUGAAUGAUAGAAUGAUGUUGGAUAGUAAUUAAGCGGUUUCCAGCUGUAAUGCUUUAAGAGAAUAUGAAAAAAGGGUUAUAAAUGGGUUAAAAUCUAAUGGUAAGGAUUUGCUGAACCAAUAAAUUGAAGUGGAAUACAAAAAAAGG